Long non-coding RNA from Tripterygium wilfordii, 3974 nucleotides. RefSeq lists it as uncharacterized. Lineage: Eukaryota; Viridiplantae; Streptophyta; Magnoliopsida; Celastrales; Celastraceae. The transcript is spliced from 8 exons. The record is from RefSeq and is a predicted model, not a curated record.
UUGUAGCCUCGCCUCUUUGCCCAAAACGACGCCGUCCAACUUCGGUCAGCUUGCCUCGGUUCUUGCGUCUCUGCGGUUCAUGCAUCUUCAAUAUUCUCUUGCAUCAUCAGUUCUCGCGGACCACAUCGAUCGGUGUGUUGUCCUCGAUGCCUUAACUUUACCUCAGCUCUUCAAUCCCUGCGAGUUGUUCGAAUUACCUCCCCACUGUUCUUUUUCCUCAGCUCAGGACCUCAGAUUCAUCUUUCGUUGGUAUUGCUGUUGUUUGGAGGCCGGCUUUUUUGCUAUUUGGCUUCGACCUGUGGUUCGCUGUCCUCUUCCAUUAUGAGUAUCUGCCACAGGCAGAAACUCAAAUGCUAUGGUACGUUUGCUUCCUCAAAUGCUAUGCUACGUUUGCCAUCUCUGCGAUAUGUACAGUAACACCUUCUAAAGGCUUUUAGGCAAAGCUUGCUACCAAAGAUGCAAGUCGUGAAUAUGUAGUGACAAAUGGAUAUUGCUUGACUUUGCUGAAUGAAACAACCUCCAUAUCUCAUUAGAUCUUCAGAGUGGUAUGACUAUCUGAUUACUUCAUUCUUAUAUCUUAAAUAUAGGAUUCGUUACAACCAUCUAGCAGCCCCUAUAAUUUUUAAUGAGCCAAAGACCAGGUUGGCAUGCAGGAAGAAACAAGCAGAUUACAUGGAUCCUCUCCAAAAUGCCUUUUAAGUAAGCUACUGUAUAUCUUCUUGACCCUUUUUUUCUUGGAACAUAGUUUAAUGAGUUGGAUACUUAACAUUCAUUUUUAUGUCUAACAUUCAUAUAGUAUAUUUCGUGCUAAUCAUAAUUUGUAUAGUCAAAUAAUAUAUUCAUCCGUAUUUUAUUGUUCCUGUAAUGGUUUUCCUCUGGCAUCUCCAUAUCAGAGUAUUUUCGUGUCCAACAACUGCAGUUCAAACAAAGCUAAUUAACCUCUCAUCAUAAGAAGAAGCCAAACGAAUAUAAAAUUUCAAAGUUUCGAUAUCUGUAGGUAGGGCAUGCUCUGCAAGUUGGUGGCUCGGUGCAAUUAGAAGCUUCUAUCAAUGCCAUUUAAGUCGCCAUUGAAGCAUCGCCAAAUUUUUUUCUGUGGCGCUGCAUUGCUCAAAAGCUUCCUUGGAUUCACUAUCAUGAGGUAUCAGUGUAUGCACCUGUGAGAGGUGGAUCAGGUUGGGUCGAACGAGUGGUAGAUACACAUAUGAACCUAAUUUAAGUUUAUUUCCUUUUUCUCUCUAGAUCUACUUCAAUUUGUUUGUAUUUAUUGGAUUUCUGAGGUUUCUUUUGGCUGAUUUUGCUUUACAUUCGGGAUAAAUUGUCUCAAAAAGCUCGAAUCCAGAUUGGGCUCUAUGAACAGAAAGAUUUGAGGAUCAAAGGCUUGAAUCAUUGUAUUCCUCUUCUUCGCGCUUUCCUCAUUACUAGACUAAAGGGAAUCGAAGGAUUGAGUCCCAUUUGCUUUUCUUUCUAUGGAGUGAGGGAAUCAAGGAAUAUUGGAUGAAGGAGGUUCUGCUCCUGAAAUUCAAACUCCUUCAAAUAGCAUUUUUGCUGCCCUUUCACAAUAUUGUAUUGUCUAUUAGUAAGUGAGUGUUGGAUGGACAAUAUUUUUGUUUUGGCAGAUCAUAUAAGCUUCCAGUCCAUGGAGAAAUCCCUAAAUUUUUACACAGACGGAACAAUUGAUCAAGUAUCUACCACUCAAUGAAAUAUGAGGAAUUACUUCCAAAUGUGGGGCAGGUUGGAUAGUUUUAUAUGUUCAUUUACCUUACGACUAAGUAUAUGUGGUCUUGCACAUUAGAAUAGUCUUCUGUAAGUCAUUUCUUUGCUUCAUAGUGUCAACGAAUGAAAUUUUGAUGAUAUUUAACAUCUUAAUAAGAAAGAUUCCAGUUGCUAUUUAUUUGCAAAAUCCUUUCGUAAGAUUUAUGAAUCUUAAAUACAAAUUACAUAUCCUCUUAUGUGAAAUUCUACUGCUGACUUACAGCAACUAUAGAAAGUAGGACAUACUGGACAUAUCUUGACUAAAGGAUCCACAAGCCAAUGGCGACAAUGCUCUUUUGUGGCCCUACUGGAGUUGGUAAAAAUGAAUUAGCAAAAGCUGCAAUAACUUACAAUGUUGAUAAUAUUGUAAACAUAGUAGUUUUUUAACAAUGUUGAUAAUAUUUUUUACCCAAUUAUGGCUUAUUCUCUCUGUUUUUUAUGAGUUAAUUUUAUUCUAUUGUGAGGUUUUUUUUUCCAAAUUUAGGUUGCUUUGGAGCUUUGAACUUUAGGAUGUUUUAUGUGAGUUAAUUUCAUUAUGUUGUGAUUUUUUUACUUAAUUCUCUUGCUCGGGGUUGCUUUGAAGCACUGGAUCUUAAGUUGCUGGGAUAUGGCCCAUGGGUAUUUUUUUUGGUGGUUUAAUUCUUCAAAUGUUAAUUGUUAAACUAUCCAUGUAAGUUCCAAGUAUCAAUCUUGCUGUAUUCUACUUGUUUUCUGUGAUUUUUAAGUUUUUAUAUUUUUAGUAGUAGUUUCUUUAAGGUCUUGGGAACUUUAAGUAUUAAUUUUGCAUUUGUUCUGCUAAUUGCCAGUGACAUGCGGAUCCCAUUUAUCUUAUGCUUUUUUUUUUGUUGAGAUUGUUCUUGCUUUAGAUUUUUAACUGGAGCUGCUUGAAAAUCUUCAUGAUUGGAGCUGCUUGAAAUUCUUCAUGAUUGUUGCUUGCUUUCAUGAUUUUUAACUGGAUGUUUAUCUCUAAAGGAAAGGUUGCUUCUUUGUCGAUCUUAAUUCUCUUGCAAUACCAAUAUACAUUUAUUAGGGAAAUAUUGGGAAUUCAGAGUAUUGAUUUGCUUUUUGGUUUGUUAAUUGAGUUAAUUUAUAUUCCGACAAUGGAUUGCAGCCCAGACUCCAGAACUCCAUUAUGUCCAUAUGAUUCUUUGAUUAGAUUAGAUUGUUGUAACAUGCACGACAUUUAUGUUCUAAACUUGUGGAUCUGGACAUAAACCCUUUGAGAAAACGGGUACAAAGCAUAAAUUCGAGACACGCAAUGCUUAGCAUGAUAAUAUAGAUAAUUAUUGCAAAUUUUAGUGGAUUUUCAUUGUAUUUCCACGAACAAGAUGCUGCACCAAAAUUACUGCCCUGCUCUAUUUACUUAUCAUAGUUCACCAAAGGCCAUACUUAUUGUAUUGUAAGCAUGAUUUGGUUGAUGAACAUAAACAAUGUGAGGAGAAAGGAAAAUCAACGUCUGUCUAACUGAACAAGGUUUAUUUUUAUGGAUUAGUUUAGGUUUUCCAUUGUCAUCAUUUUAAAGAGGAGCCCUUAAUCAUUCUGUACAAAAUUGAUUAAUCCUAUGUUAACCAAUAUCCAAUUUUGAAAGCACCAUAGAAUGCCAAGAAUACCAAAGAAAACUAACUACGAGGGAGAAGACGGAAAACAAUCAGCCCAAGAAAUAACCAAUAAAAAACGUGUCCGCAAAGCGCGGGUUGGAUGCUAGUGUUUUAUAUUGUUUUAGUUUAUGUUUGUAAGUAAGCCACGUGGGCUAGCUAGUUCCAAAAAACUAGUUUGCAUCUAAAAGCUUGUGUUUGUUCGUGUGUGGCUGUACUGUACUACAAAUUGCAGACUGAAUAGAUGAAUGUUCUCUCUGCAAGUUACAACCUUUGAUCAGUUAUUUAUCUCUACUUCACUUCAGUUUGUUGUUUCGUGAAUUUGUCUUGCUGUGUAAGGUUUAGCUAGCUGCUGACCUUGUUGUUGAACUUCUGAAGUGAAGAUUGCAGGGUGCUGGAGUGUUGACAGUGUUUUCAGGUCAAGCCAGCUGCUGAUCUUGGUGUUCUUGUGGUGCUAACAGACUAGUUGUCUAGCUCAGUUUCUUAGCUUGCGUUUACGGUAUGAUAAAACUGCAAAGUAAUAUGUAAUGAAGGCGUUUCAAUAGGUUGCUAAGUCCAUCACCUCAGUCGCUAUCAACAAAUUAAUGUGACCUUCCAAUGAUGCCAAUGAAAAUUAAAUGCAUGUAA